This 713-nucleotide ribosomal RNA is filed under the name Myriostoma capillisporum. RNAcentral describes it as "LSU rRNA". It matches the Rfam family "Eukaryotic large subunit ribosomal RNA", at positions 108 to 798 of the family's 3401-position model. The record is from RNAcentral. Lineage: Eukaryota; Fungi; Basidiomycota; Agaricomycetes; Geastrales; Geastraceae.
CUCAAAUUUGAAAUCUGGCAGCUAUGCUGUCCGAGUUGUAAUCUAGAGAAGUGUUUUCCGUGCUAGACCGUGUACAAGUCCAUUGGAACAUGGCGUCAUAGAGGGUGAGAAUCCCGUCCAUGACACGGUGCCUAGUGCUCUGUGAUACACUCUCAACGAGUCGAGUUGUUUGGGAAUGCAGCUCAAAAUGGGUGGUAAAUUCCAUCUAAAGCUAAAUACAGGCGAAAGACCGAUAGCGAACAAGUACCGUGAGGGAAAGAUGAAAAGCACUUUGGAAAGAGAGUUAAACAGUACGUGAAAUUGUUGAAAGGGAAACGCUUGAAGUCAGUCGCGUCUUCAGAAAUUCAGCUAGUGAACCACUAGUGUACUUUUCUGUUGGACGGGCCAGCAUCAGUUUCAGCCGCCAGAAAAGGGUAAGAGAAAGGUAGCAUCUCCGGAUGUGUUAUAGUCUCUUAUCAGUAUAUGGUGGCAGGGACUGAGGAACGCAGCACGCCCUUGUUGGCCGGGGUUCGCCCACGUAACGUGCUUAGGAUGCUGGCGUAAUGGCUUUAAACGACCCGUCUUGAAACACGGACCAAGGAGUCUAACAUGCAUGCGAGUAUUUGGGUGGCAAACCCAUAUGCGUAAUGAAAGUGAAUCACAGUUGGGACUUGUGUCAUGCAAGGCACCGACGCCCGGUCCAUGAUCCCUCCGUGGUGACGGAUCCGAGGUAG